UCGAUAUCUUAUUUAUCGAGUUUUACAUUAUUAUUACAAGAUUGGUGAACCCGUACUUCAAUAUACAAGGUUAAUGGAUUGCUUCCACCUGGUAAAGUCUGAGGAUGAUAACUUAUAUUGCAAGCGAAGAGGUUGUUUCUAGGUUUUGAACCCAUCGAUUUAGGGCCACAACAGAACCUGGUCAUAGAACCAUGAUAUUUUAUUCUUUUUGUCCUAUGAAUAAUCAUUUUUUUGUAAUUUGAUUCAUUUUUUUGACCCCUCUUAAUGGUACUAGUGAAUAUUCUUAAAUUAUGUUGUGUAUUGUGCUCAUGAAUCUAGAAAUGAGACAAUUGUUGUAGGGUUCAUCUUUUUCUAAAUCUAGUAUGUAUUACAUGAGUCCAAUUCCUCGUUAGUAAUGAACAGUUCAAUACUGGAUUAUAAGGGGAAACAAUAAUUAUAAUUUAUUUUAAAAAUGAGUAAAAAUUAGGAUGGUUAGAUUUUUAUUUUUGUCAUAAUAAUAGAUUUAUUUUUAGGCUUUUAAACUAUUAUUGAUUAAGGGCUAUUUAUAUAUGAAGCCACUUGUUAAUUGUUAUUGGAAACCAAUACUCUGAAAUUAAGCUAUGCUAUCUAUCAUCCUUAAGAGCCUUGCAAAUUCUGAAUAUCUACAAAUAUCACCAAUGAGUUUUCUGAAGUAUAUAAUAAGUAACAAUUUUUGGAGAUUUAGGGAAAUUAUUGCUAUGUAAGUUUUCUAAAAAUUAAUUGAUUGUUUAUUUUUAAUUUUCUGAAGUUGAUUUUAUUUUUUAUUAGUUUAGAAGGGAUUUGAUAUAAAGAAGUGAGUCAUGGGCCUUCCUCAAAAAAUUUCUCAAAACUAAUUAAAGAAGUUCGUCAACACAUAUUCAUCAUUCUUAAAAUGACAAAUUCCAUUUUAUAAUUCUUUCAUAAAUAAAAGUUCACAUAAAAUAAUAUGUCAAAAUACAAAUAUAAAGUAAUGAUUGGAGACACAAAUCUGAAAGAUAAUAUUUGAUUAAUAAGAUAAUUUAUGUUAACAUGGUCGCAAAAAAAUAAUUUCACCUCACUUAUAGCUUCAUGGUUAGGCAAGCUCUUUUAUUCCGAUUCAUGGUUUUUCUUAGCUAUAUGGUUCAUCCGUGGAGAGAUCGAGUUUCAAGAAACUUCUUCUACUCCUUUCAAAGAACACAUAGUUGUCUCGACUAUGCUAUCGGAGCUUCUGGGAAAGUAUGAAUACAAAAGCACUCGUCUUGGAAUGAGCUUACUACUUAGUUAACAAUUAUUUAUUUCACACUUGGCCUCGUCUUAGGUCUUGACUCACCCUUGACCUUGGUUGAUUGGAGGGACGAGCGCUCAUCUAGCCGCAGUGCUUCAAGGUUUGCUCAAAAUCAUAGCUGGUAUCGAAAUCUCAUUCACAUUGACUUCAAAAUCUGGCGCCGAUGACAUAGAUGAUGAGUUUGCUGAUCUAUAUGUUGUGAAAUGGUCAUCACUUAUGAUACCACCAAUCACAAUCAUAUUGGUUAACUUGAUAGCAAUAGCAGUUGGAGUUGGCAGAACCAUUUACAGUGCUAUACCGCAAUGGAGCCGUUUACUAGGCGGCGUUUUCUUCAGUUUUUGGGUCUUAACUCAUCUCUAUCCGUUCGCAAAAGGUUUGAUGGGAAGAAGAGCGCGGAUACCUACCAUUGUUUAUGUAUGGUCAGGCCUCAUUGCUAUCACAAUCUCUCUUCUCUGGGUAGCAAUUAAUCCUCCUCCUGGCAGUAAACAAAUUGGUGGUUCAUUUCAUUUCCCAUGAUCCUAGUUAACCACCAUGCACUUCAUUUCGAUAUCUUAUUUAUCGAGUUUUACAUUAUUAUUACAAGAUUGGUGAACCCGUACUUCAAUAUACAAGGUUAAUGGAUUGCUUCCACCUGGUAAAGUCUGAGGAUGAUAACUUAUAUUGCAAGCGAAGAGGUUGUUUCUAGGUUUUGAACCCAUCGAUUUAGGGCCACAACAGAACCUGGUCAUAGAACCAUGAUAUUUUAUUCUUUUUGUCCUAUGAAUAAUCAUUUUUUUGUAAUUUGAUUCAUUUUUUUGACCCCUCUUAAUGGUACUAGUGAAUAUUCUUAAAUUAUGUUGUGUAUUGUGCUCAUGAAUCUAGAAAUGAGACAAUUGUUGUAGGGUUCAUCUUUUUCUAAAUCUAGUAUGUAUUACAUGAGUCCAAUUCCUCGUUAGUAAUGAACAGUUCAAUACUGGAUUAUAAGGGGA
Molecule: long non-coding RNA, 2229 nt
Filed under: Lupinus angustifolius (narrow-leaved blue lupine)
Lineage: Eukaryota; Viridiplantae; Streptophyta; Magnoliopsida; Fabales; Fabaceae
Description: long non-coding RNA (LANG_LNC002496)
Source: RNAcentral